GAUUAACGCUGGCGGCGUGCAUAACACAUGCAAGUCGAACGAUGAAACUUAAAUGAUUUCUUCGGAAUGAACUUAAGUGGCUUAGUGGCGGACGGGUGAGUAACGCGUGAGUAACCUGCCUUACACAAGGGGAUAGCCGUUGGAAACGACGAAUAAUACCCUAUGAAACUAUCACUUCGCAUGAAGCGAUAGUCAAAGUGUUAGCGGUGUAAGAUGGACUUGCGUCUGAUUAGCUAGUUGGUGAGAAAAAAGCCCACCAAGGCAACGAUCAGUAGCCGGCUUGGGGGAGUGUACGGCCACAUUGGGACUGAGACACGGCCCAGACUCCUACGGGAGGCAGCAGUGGGGAAUUUUGCACAAUGGGGGAAACCCUGAUGCAGCGACGCCGCGUGAUUUAGAAGGCCUUCGGGUUGUAAAAAUCUUUUGUAUAGGAAGAAAAUGACAGUACUAUACGAAUAAGGCCCGGCUAAUUACGUG
RNAcentral lists this ribosomal RNA (477 nucleotides) under uncultured bacterium. RNAcentral's name for it is "partial 16S ribosomal RNA". It matches the Rfam family "Bacterial small subunit ribosomal RNA", at positions 28 to 507 of the family's 1533-position model. The record is from RNAcentral.